AUUUGUUGGGACAAAAGAGAAAGAGAAAAGCGUGUGUGCGAUGAGAAUAUCUCCGGAUUCUCUUCCUAUCUUCUCAAUUCAUUAUAUAUAUAUUAUGUAAUCAAAAAAUAUUUUAAAUUAUUUUAUUAAAAAUUAAACACAGUAAAAUGAACUAAAAUGUACAAUAAACUGAUAAGAUGUGAGAAUAUUCGCGUGUGUGUGAGAGUGGCCACUCUGGAAUCUGGAUACUUUACCCCAUCUCUGGUUGUGGUAUUAUUGGGAUUUUAUAUAGAAUUGCAGUUGAAAUUGGAUGGAGUUCAAUAUGGUUUUUUUAUUCAGUAAUAUUGUCGAUACUGAAAUAUUUGGUGUCAAAUUCUGUUCCAACAUUUGUAUAUAUUAAUUCUUUGUCAUCUUAAUUUUUCUGGAGUUAAAAUUCAUUCAUCAUAUUUGAGAAUUUUUUUUUUGUUUAUCAUGAUUUCAGUUUUUUUUCAUCCUUUGUUACUCUUAUUAAGUAUGGAAAGAGUGCUUGAAAACCUAGUUAACGGUUGAAUUUGCAAUUGUAAAGUAUUAUGACUCAUUUAGAAGUAUUUUUAAAAUAACUAAAAGUGUUUUUAAGGAAAAUAUUUUUGAGUUUCAAAAGCACUUAAAGUGCUUCAUGCUAAAAACACAAGUUAGGUGCUUUUUAUAAAGAACACUUAAAAUGUUUUUCAAAGAUUCACUUUAUUUUUUUUUAACAAACAAUAUUAUCUACACUAGGAGGGAGGGGUGGACUUAGCCUCACAAUGGACUAGCAAUAAUGUGGUGCAAAUUCGCUUUUGACGAAAAUUGAACCUAAGACCUUUCACUUACAAGCGAAUAUGAAUAUCACUAAACCAUAGUACUAAAUGACAACUCAUCGGUACUUAAGGCAUCUGGGAAACCAAAAUUUAAAUACAAUACUAAGUGAAAGAAUGUGAUUAUGUUUACCUGGACAGUGUAAGUGUGAAAGUCAUCAAGUUGUGUCCGGAAGCAUGGGACUUUAUUUGCAUUCAUUUGAAAAUAGACAUUUCAGUUGGUAAUACCACCUAACCUAGUCAAGUCAGGUCAUUUUCCAAUAAAGCCUCUCACGACUCAGCUUCUCUGCAUUCCCACUUUUCAUACUCACAUCCAACCCUGUUAAUGAGAUUAGUGCUUAAUUUAUGACUUUGUUUUUUUUGUUGAGCUUAAUUUAUGACUUUCCUUCACUUUCAAAUGUAACCAAAACAAUGCUACUUAGUAGUUUCCGAAAAGAAAAAAAAACAUCGCUACUUAGUACUACAAUCUAGUAGUAUUCAUCUUCACUUAUAAGUAAGAGGUUUUAAGUUCGAUUUUCGCCAAAUACAAAUUUGAACCACAUUAUUAUGGCUAACCCAUUGUGAGAUUUAGUUCACCCCUUUAAUGUAGAUAAUAUUGUUUGCUAAAAAAAAUGUAACAAACACAAUAGAGUAAUGCUACACUCAUCACAUUUCAUAGAGUAGGAUUCUCUCGAUCCCUUCCUAAUCUCUCAUCUCCCUCCAUUUCUAUUUAAACGAUUAUGAUUAGGUCAAAUCAAUAUCUUGUUUGAAUAUUUAUAUAGAGAAAAAGAUAAAAAAGAAAGUGUGAGAGGAGUGAAGAGAAGAGAAUGGUAAUAGGAAAAAAGAGAAUGACAAUAGGAGAUAAGAGAAUCAUACGUCAAUUUUCAUACCACAUUUAUACAAUCUCUCUAAUAGAGGUAGGGUCCACAAACAUAUGUGUGUUUAUAAAAAAAUAGUACAAAUGUGGUAUAAAAAAAAUGUGGUAAAAACACCAUUAAAUAAUAACUUUUUUCCACAUUUGGUGUGGAGGUUUAAUUCCACAUAUACAGAAAAACUUUUUAAAACCCUAAGCUAAUUCAUUUCUCCUUGCCGUAUGACUACUUAACCAGAGACACCAACCAUUUAGUUCAAAGAUGUCUUGAGUUCAACUUGCACGGAUGCAAGCAGGAUAUAUAUAGUUGUAGUGGUGAGUUUGAUAUUAAGUUAUUACCAAUGGAGGAUUGCUGGUCAUACAAAAAUUAUCCAUCUUCUACAACGAACAAAGGAGGUAUUGCUUGCAACAAAAUUUCCAAAUAAGCGGCCGAGAAAAAUUGAGGGCUCCCGGAAGGUCCUUCACAAGUGUUCGUCUUGGUCUCUAGAGGGUCCUGGGACCAUUCAAAAUCCCUAUAUUGAUCAACCCUUGGUUGUUACUCGCUAUUUUGAUACGAGUAAAUUAAUAGUUCAUUAUGUCACUCAAUACUACGGUCUGGUAGUAUUUCUCUUCACUUGAAAAGUAAGAGGUCUUAGGUUCGAAUCUCGUAAAUAGCGAAUUCGAUACCAAAUUACGUUGCCCAUUAUGUGACUUAGCCAAACUCCCUCUCCCUUUAGUGUAAAAAUAUUGAUGUACUAAAAAAAAAAUUAAUAGUUCGUUAUAUGAGUAUGUAUAACUAUCCUUUUAUUUGCACACACGAAAAAACAAUAAUGAAAAUAGCUUGAAAACUUUGAAUUUUAACGAUAAGGACAAAAUAAAGGGUAAAGUGAAUAGUACUAGAAUUGACUUUUUAGUGUAAAAAUGUAGUUUUUCAUUAAAGUAAACAGUACCAGAAGUUUUUCGUUAAAAUUCUAAAAAAAAAAAGUCAUUUAUCAUUUCCUUGGGUUUUUCUCUUAUGUUACCAAAGAAUGGGUCGUGAUUUAGGAAAAAGAACUUAAUACUAUAUUUGGACAAGAGAAAUAAACUUUGAAUUUGAAUAAAAUUUUCGCAUAAAAAAAUUGGAAUUUGGAAUCUUCAAUUCCCAAGUUUAAAUUUCAUGUAAAUAAGUGUUAUUUCCUAAUUUCUAUGUUAGAUUAACAAAAUAAGAAAAUUUACAAAUUCAAAAAAAUAAAAUCUCAUUUUAAUUUCUAUCAUUUUACAAUUCCUUAAUAAUCUUAAAAUUUUUCAUUCAAAUAUAAUGUAAAUUUUUCUAAAUAAUUGAACAUUGACUUAAAUUGUUAGAAUCGUAUAAUUGCAAGUGCUGAUAAUAUUUUUAUUCAACAAUUUGAGAGAUUUGCAUAUGGGAUUUAUAUUUUAUAUUUUCUAAAUUCCAUAAUUAAGGAGACAGAAUGAGAUGGAAUCUUUUAUAGGAGUUUGAACUUUGAAGUGGGAACAGAAUAGAAGAAUAGAAACUACAGAAAGAGAAUGGAAACGGCUGACUGAGAGUAUGAGAGAGAGAGAGAGAGAGAGAGAGAGAGAGAGCAUUACAUCUGAAAAAGCUCUGAAUUUUAAAACUAUGCUAGUAAAACGACAAUAUGGCCAGAGAAAAAGCUACUAAAACGACACUCUACUACUAGUUUUAUCUUUUACGUACUAUAGCUGGCUAAUCAAAACUUGAUUAAGGCGUUAAUUAAUCGGGUUUAACUUUGCACAAAGUUUGGUGCUCAUUGGGACAAUGCAUUUUUUGUAGUUUCACAGGGGGACAAUGUUACUGAGAUAAUCAAAACUUAAUCAACAAAAACAAGAUUAAAUUAUGGCAUACCAAACACCAAAAAUGGUCCAGACUCCAAACCUUGAGGAAAAUGGGCAAAAUUCAAAUUAAAGGGGGCGUUAUAUUAAUGUUAUUCUUAUUAUUUAGUUGUACCCAUCAUUUGUAUCAUCUAUUUAAAAGAGAUAAGAACCAUAUAUGUUGACUAAUCAUAUCUCUAUUACAAAGAUGAUACAAGUAGGUAGUAAGUGUAACAUUACUAAUGAUGUUAAUGUGGUAAUUAUGAGAUUAUGUAUGGGGUUUAGUUAAACGAAGUGCAUUGCAUGGUGUAUUAGGGUUUAGGGAGUCCAAAAAGCAGCAACCAUGCAUGUUUGCUAUGGCUGGCUGGUGGAGUUUUGACAGCCUUUGCUCUCACGCUUGCUCAGCGGUCCCCGGGAACUGCGUUAUAUGCAAAGCGUGCUACAUUUGGUUUCCACCUCCAAAAUUUCCACUUUACUUUUCUCCUACCCUUCAAAUUCACAAGUGUUCUCAUGGUCACUAGGUGUAUGAUUGAGAAACGCAUAGUCACUAACCAUUAAAUUUGAUGUCAACAGUGAAGAAUACACGAAGAGUAAUACUAUGGAGACUAAAUUUGUAGACUAAAUUAACAAACCAAAUAAGGUGUCAUCAAUAGAAAAUGAGCACAUUUAUUAAUGAUUAAGUAAUAAUCCAGUAAUAAUCCAAUCACCAACUUCCAUGUCAUUUAGUUUAUAAAAUUUAGUCUACAAAUUUAGUCUUCCUAGCAUUAUUCAUAUAUGAAUAUGUUUUCAGUGUUUUAAUAUUAACAUUGUAAAUCAAAUCUAAUGAUAAAUGUCCACGAAUUCUUGCUUACUACAUAUUAUGGUCCUUUUUACAACAUCAUUUGUUUUUUUGUUAAUUUGAUGUAGAACAUAAGACAUAACGCAUUGAAAAACAGUUUGAGAAGCACAAAUCCUACCAGGCUAGCUGGCUCAAACAUUAUGGAUAUGGUUACGGUAUCCAAUUUGGACCAUGACCCGUCAUUUUGAAAAGAACUAUGUCACCAUGAAGACUUCGUGACUAAUAAGCAUUUACUAUCACAAAAACAACAUUCUAAUAUGUUUGUUUAUUUUUCUAUAUACGUAUUUUGUUUCCUAGCAACUCUAGGGUUGUGAUACAUUAUAAAAGAAUCCUUUUGUUUGACCAAAAAAUAAAAAACAAAAGCAUCCUUUCGUGGUGCAAGAGUCUGUUAUCUAAUAAUCAAUAAAUUUGAGGUUUUCUCAAUUCUUGGUAGAUUUCAAAUUGCUAGUGGAUUG
Molecule: long non-coding RNA, 4761 nt
Filed under: Malus domestica (apple)
Lineage: Eukaryota; Viridiplantae; Streptophyta; Magnoliopsida; Rosales; Rosaceae
Description: long non-coding RNA (MDOM_LNC003774)
Source: RNAcentral